CUCAGUUCACACAGGUCUAAAAACACAGACACAGUGUCUCAGUUCACACAGGUCUCUACAUACACCGACACAGUGCCUCAGUUCACACAGGUCUCUACAUACACAGACACAAUGUCUCAGUUCACACAGGUCUCUACAUACACAGUCACAGUGUCUCAGUUCACACAGGUCUCUACAUACACAGACACAAUGUCUCAGUUCACACAGGUCUCUAUAUACACAGUCACAGUGUCUCACUUCACACAGGACUCUACAU
Molecule: long non-coding RNA, 256 nt
Organism: Haliotis rubra (blacklip abalone)
Lineage: Eukaryota; Metazoa; Mollusca; Gastropoda; Lepetellida; Haliotidae
Exons: 3
Source: RefSeq, a predicted model, not a curated record